This 71-nucleotide transfer RNA is filed under the name Enterobius vermicularis (human pinworm). It matches the Rfam family "tRNA". From Rfam's summary of the family: Transfer RNA (tRNA) molecules are approximately 80 nucleotides in length. Their secondary structure includes four short double-helical elements and three loops (D, anti-codon, and T loops). The record is from Rfam by way of RNAcentral. Lineage: Eukaryota; Metazoa; Nematoda; Chromadorea; Rhabditida; Oxyuridae.
GGGGGCAUAGGCCAGUGCAGAGCAUUCGUCUGCAGAUCGAUAGGUCCCUGGUUCAAAUCCGGGUGCUCCCU